RNAcentral lists this long non-coding RNA (2766 nucleotides) under Triticum aestivum (bread wheat). Its description in RNAcentral is "long non-coding RNA (TAES_LNC022900)". Lineage: Eukaryota; Viridiplantae; Streptophyta; Magnoliopsida; Poales; Poaceae. The record is from RNAcentral.
CUCUCUGGAAAUUGUAUUUCUGAGAAAGGCACGUUCUGUUUAAACUGCCAGGUACCUGUUUGUACAAGUUAUUUUCGCAGAUUAGUCCCUCGACUUUAAAUGGUCGUAUCUUUUUACCCGUAACUCCAAAUGAGGUGAAUCCAAAGCCCACUUCUUCGUCUCGUCGAGCCCGUUCUGUUGGUCACCUUUUCACCAUGUUUUGACAUUCUAAAAAUGACUAUUUUGCCCUUACCCUUAUUCAGCCCCCUCCAAGAGAGAACGUUUUCUGGUGGUUCUUUCCGCAAGUUUCUCGCACUUUCUUCUGGCGAAUCCAUCUUUCCCAGGCAAGCCGCACCCUCCAUUUGCAUCACUGUAAUGCAGUGACAUGCUUUAAAUUAUUUGAAGUUGUUUAUAAUGUUGUGAUAGCUACUUGUGAUUUGUUCAUGGCAUUAUCUCGAAGUUGUUUUUGAACUUGUUACUGCCAUGAUAUUGCUUGGAGUUCUAGGACUAAUGUUUUGCAACUUAUGUGGAUGACAUGUUGCCUUUGGAUUAUUAGUGGAUUAUGUUGUGAUUAUUUUCAUGUUGAUAUCUGAUAGUAUAUUUCAGAGCAUUACUUUGGAUGUUAUCUUGCCUUUGGAUUAUUAGUGGCUAGUAUGAUUAUUUUCGGGAUGGUAGUUGGUAUGUUGCUUGGCAUUCUUAUUUUCGGUGAUGAUGCUUGCAUGUGGGUCUUAGCGGGAUAGCUAGUUCUUUCUAUUGUAGUAGUAUUAUCAUUCUUGGAUUUAUCAUGGUAGUAGUGUCAUGUUGCCCUCGAAGUAUUAUGUUAUGGCUAGGUUAUGCUUUGGAUUAGUUGUUGGAUAUUUCUAUGACUUGGAUUACAGGUUGACAGAUGAUAUUGGAGUAUCAGUUGUCAUAGAUAUGCUUUGGGGAUAAAUUCCGUCAUUAAGUUGGUCAGGUGCCUCCUAACCGGGCUUUUCCAAUGCAACCACACUUACCUUUAUGGGGGGUCUUGAUUCGGUCUUUUGUCAUGCCUCUCGCCGGUGCCUCCAACGAAGGAAGGUUAUGCGCGGGUGCUACUCUGAUCAGGUAGGACGGCAUAAGCCUUGUGUGUCCGUUGUUGUUUUAUGGAUCCUUGUCGGACCGUUUUGCCAUGACGGUGGCCGAAGAUGCCUUUGGUAGGCAUGAGCCACCCAUGACUUAGCCCUGAGAGGGAGUGAGUUGGAGUGGCCGGGAGAGUGUCAUGGCAAGGGAAGGGUUUCAUCGGAACUCUGUGGUCCACCUGAAUGGGAGUGCGAGGCCCUUGAGUUCUGUAGUGUGGGUAAAGUGCGCUAACCUCUGCAGUGUGUGUGUGUGUGUGUGUGUGUGUGUGUGUGUGUGUGUGUGUGUGUGUGUGUGUGUGUUUAAUCUAUCGAUAGCCGCGUCCUCGGUCAUGGGCAUAAGUUCGUGCUAGGUCACACCGUUCGAUCAACACUCAUGUGACGGAAUGAGUUUUAUAGGACUAAUAUGUGAUAUGAUGAGCUGUGGCAAUUUGUUAGGUUGUUGUUGAUGAUGUUGGGAUGAUCUUGAGAAUGAUCAUUCUAUUGGUGAUGUGGUCACAUGGUGAGCACGUGGAGGUAUUGAUCACGAGGUGAUCGAGAUGGUAUAUUGCUUGGCCGGUUAACCAUGCGUGAGAUGGUUAUUGAGAUCUGAGAUGGUGGUUUAUGAGUACUGCAGUAGUUUUAUAUCAUGCUUAGUAGUGGCUUUUGCAUCAUAGUAGUUGUUAAUUAAUUUGCUAAUGCUAUGUUGUUGUCUUGCCUUGAUGCUUUUGGUUGCCGUGAGCUUGCAAGUACAUUCAAUGUACUGACCUGGCGUGUCAUGCCAGAUUGCAGGUGAUGCAGUGAUUGAUUGAUUGCUUGUCGUGGUUUCCGCUCGUGCAAGCUAGAUCGUGUCCCAGCCAGAGUCCCUGCAGAGUGGAGUUCACCACUUUCGUCAUUGUUCCACUGCUAGAAGAUUUCCGCUGCUAUGAGUCGUUUCGCUGCUAGCAUAGAGCAAGUGUAGUAUCAUUGGCAUAGUGUCGCUGUGUUGAUGUGAUCCUCUGUAACAUCAGACACUUGUAUUAUUAUCCUUUGUAAUAAGAGAUAAUUUGUUCUAUGUCAAUAAGUACCGUAUUCCAGAAGACUUCUCCUCGAUCUCUUGGCUGGAAUACGGGGCGUUCCGGUUUCUUUGAGCUGGGGUGCCACACCUCAUCACUAAGAAAUUCUUCCAAGGUGUAGUUCUUGAACUCGGAGCCUUUAUCACUUCUUAUUGCCAAGAUUUCUUUGUCAAACUUACGUUGGGCUUGCUUGGCAAAAUCAAUGAAGGUGAUCUUCGUCUCGUCCUUGGACUUGAGGAAAAACACCCAUGUCUAUCUUGAGUAAUCAUCAACAAUGACAAGUCCAUACUUUUUCCGACCAAGAGUAUCCCAUGAAGGAGGCCCAAAGAGGUCCACAUGAAGGAGAUCCAAAGGCCUUGAAGUAGAUACAAUAUUCUUGGGCGGAUGCUUUGAUUUAUGUUACUUCCCGGCUAUGCAUGCACUACACACACAAUCUUUCUCAAAAGAGACAUUGGUUAGUCCAAGGAUGUGAUUACCAUUUAAGAGAUCUUGAAGAUUUCUCAUGUCGACAUGGGCUAGACGGUGAUGCCAUAGCCACCCCUUGCCGGCCUUGGCCAUCAGACAAGUUGCAUGGAAUGUGCUCUCUUUCAAGAAAUCAAUCAUGUAAAGGUUGCCUCCAACUCUCCAACAAAGGACACUUCGAGAGUAUCUCUCUUAAA